This 440-nucleotide ribosomal RNA is filed under the name uncultured bacterium. RNAcentral describes it as "partial 16S ribosomal RNA". It matches the Rfam family "Bacterial small subunit ribosomal RNA", at positions 338 to 795 of the family's 1533-position model. The record is from RNAcentral.
CCUACGGGAGGCAGCAGUAGGGAAUAUUGCUCAAUGGGGGAAACCCUGAAGCAGCAACGCCGCGUGGAGGAUGAAGGUUUUCGGAUUGGAAACUCCUUUUGUUAGAGAAGAUAAUGACGGUAUCUAACGAAUAAGCACCGGCUAACUCCGUGCCAGCAGCCGCGGUAAUACGGAGGGUGCAAGCGUUACUCGGAGUCACUGGGCGUAAAGAGCGCGUAGGCGGGAUAGCAAGUCAGAUGUGAAAUCCUAUGGCUUAACCAUAGAACUGCCUUUGAAACUGUUAUUCUAGAGUAUGGGAGAGGUAGGUGGAAUUCUUGGUGUAGGGGUAAAAUCCGUAGAGAUCAAGAAGAAUACUCAUUGCGAAGGCGACCUGCUAGAACAUAACUGACGCUGAUGCGCGAAAGCGUGGGGAGCAAACAGGAUUAGAUACCCGUGUAGUC